UACGUAGGGUGCGAGCGUUUGUCCGGAAUUAUUGGGCGUAAAGGGCUCGUAGGCGGUCUGUCACGUCAGGAGUGAAAACUCGGGGCUCAACCCUCGAGCCUGCUUCUGAUACGGGCAGACUGGAGGUAUGCAGGGGAGAACGGAAUUCCUGGUGUAGCGGUGAAAUGCGCAGAUAUCAGGAGGAACACCGGUGGCGAAGGCGGGUCUCUGGGCAACAACUGACGCUGAGGAGCGAAAGCGUGGGGGAGCGAACAGG
Molecule: ribosomal RNA, 256 nt
Filed under: uncultured bacterium
Lineage: Bacteria
Description: partial 16S ribosomal RNA
Rfam family: Bacterial small subunit ribosomal RNA
Source: RNAcentral